This 497-nucleotide ribosomal RNA is filed under the name uncultured bacterium. RNAcentral's name for it is "partial 16S ribosomal RNA". It matches the Rfam family "Bacterial small subunit ribosomal RNA", at positions 28 to 507 of the family's 1533-position model. The record is from RNAcentral.
GACGAACGCUGGCGGCGUGCCUAAUACAUGCAAGUUGAGCGAUGAAGAUUGGUGCUUGCCCCAAUUUGAAGAGCAGCGAACGGGUGAGUAACGCGUGGGGAAUCUGCCUUUGAGCGGGGGACAACAUUUGGAAACGAAUGCUAAUACCGCAUAACAACUUUAAACAUAAGUUUUAAGUUUGAAAGAUGCAAUUGCAUCACUCAAAGAUGAUCCCGCGUUGUAUUAGCUAGUUGGUGAGGUAAAGGCUCACCAAGGCGAUGAUACAUAGCCGACCUGAGAGGGUGAUCGGCCACAUUGGGACUGAGACACGGCCCAAACCCCUACGGGAGGCAGCAGUAGGGAACCUUCGGCAAUGGACGAAAGUCUGACCGAGCAACGCCGCGUGAGGGAAGAAGGUUGUCGGAUCGUAAAACUCUGUUGGUAGAGAAGAACGUUGGUGAGAGUGGAAAGCUCAUCAAGUGACGGUAACUACCCAGAAAGGGACGGCUAACUACGUG